ACGAACGCUGGCGGCGUGCUUAACACAUGCAAGUCGAACGGAAAGACCCUGCUUUUGUGGGGUGCUCGAGUGGCGAACGGGUGAGUAACACGUGAGUAACCUGCCCUUGACUUUGGGAUAACUUCAGGAAACUGGGGCUAAUACCGGAUAGGAGCUCCUGCUGCAUGGUGGGGGUUGGAAAGUUUCGGCGGUUGGGGAUGGACUCGCGGCUUAUCAGCUUGUUGGUGGGGUAGUGGCUUACCAAGGCUUUGACGGGUAGCCGGCCUGAGAGGGUGACCGGCCACAUUGGGACUGAGAUACGGCCCAGACCCCUACGGGAGGCAGCAGUGGGGAAUAUUGCACAAUGGGCGGAAGCCUGAUGCAGCAACGCCGCGUGCGGGAUGACGGCCUUCGGGUUGUAAACCGCUUUCGCCUGUGACGAAGCGUGAGUGACGGUAAUGGGUAAAGAAGCACCGGCUAACUACGUG
RNAcentral lists this ribosomal RNA (467 nucleotides) under uncultured bacterium. RNAcentral describes it as "partial 16S ribosomal RNA". It matches the Rfam family "Bacterial small subunit ribosomal RNA", at positions 29 to 507 of the family's 1533-position model. The record is from RNAcentral.